ACCUGAACCUGACAGCUCAACUUGGAGACGAUGUCACCCUGAGCUGUCAGGCUCCUGAUGUCAACAUCGCAGCAGCAGAGUGGAGCAGACCUGACCUGAAGGAACUAGAACCUGUCUUCCUUUACCGAGACGGACACAUUGAGUCAGACUACCAGCAUCCGUCUUUUAAGAACCGGGUGGAGCUGAAAGACACAGAGAUGAAGAACGGCGACCUGUCUGUGAUUCUGAAGAAUGUGAAGGAGGAGGACAGUGGGACAUACGAGUGUCGCUUUAAAGCUGCUGGGGCCAAACGUGGGAAGAGAGCCAUUAUUAAAGCUCCUCCCAUCAGCACCAUCAGGCUGGAGGUUCUAUAUCCAGACUCUGUGGAUGACCAUGACCUUGAUGAACCUGCUGGGCGUGGACGAGCUGCAGCGGCUGUAGUUCCUGUACUGGCAGUGCUUAUUGUCGUUCUUUCUGCUGUGGCUGCUGUGAUGCGCAGAAAACAAAAAGCAAGUGGAGAACACAGACCGCUGUACAGUGAGGAUACAUGAACUCCUCAGCUGAAAGCAGGAGUGUGUCAGGAGUGUUAGGAGUGUGUCAGGAGUGUGUU
Myripristis murdjan (pinecone soldierfish) is the source of this 589-nucleotide long non-coding RNA. RefSeq lists it as uncharacterized. The transcript is spliced from 3 exons. NCBI's taxonomy places the organism in Eukaryota, Metazoa, Chordata, Actinopteri, Holocentriformes, Holocentridae. The record is from RefSeq and is a predicted model, not a curated record.